This 809-nucleotide ribosomal RNA is filed under the name uncultured bacterium. RNAcentral describes it as "bacterial SSU rRNA". It matches the Rfam family "Bacterial small subunit ribosomal RNA", at positions 8 to 796 of the family's 1533-position model. The record is from RNAcentral.
AGAGUUUGAUCAUGGCUCAGAUUGAACGCUAGCGGGAUGCCUUACACAUGCAAAUCGAACGGCAACACUGGUUUAUGCCUGGUGGCGAGUGGUGAACGGGUGAGUAAUGUACCGGAACGUACCCAAUAGUGGGGGGAUAACUACGCGAAAGCGUAGCUAAUACCGCAUGGUUCCAAAUUUAAGUUUUAAAAAUGGAAAAAGCAGGGGAUCGUAAGACCUUGUGCUAUCGGAUCGGCCGGUAUCGAAUUAGCUAGUUGGUAGGGUAAAUGCCUACCAAGGCUACAAUUCGUAGCUGGUCUGAGAGGACGAUCAGCCACACUGGGACUGAGACACGGCCCAGACUCCUACGGGAGGCAGCAGUGGGGAAUUUUGGACAAUGGGGGAAACCCUGAUCCAGCAAUCCCGCGUGUGCGAAGAAGGCCUCAGGUCGUAAAGCACUUUUUGUAGGGAAGAAACAGUGCAGGCUAAUAUCCUAGCAAAACUGACGGUACCUGCAGAAUAAGCACCGGCUCACUACGUGCCAGCAGCCGCGGUAAUACGUAGGGUGCAAGCGUUAAUCGGAAUCACUGGGCGUAAAGGGUGCGCAGGCGGUUCGGCAAGAAAAAUGUGAAAGACCAGAGCUUAACUUUGGAAAUGCAUUUUUUACUACCGAGCUAGAGUAUAUUAGGGGGAAGCGGAAUUCUGUAUGUAGCAGUGAAAUGCGUAGAUAUGCAGAGGAACACCGAUAGCGAAAGCAGCUUCCUGGGAUAAAACUGACGCUCAUGCACUAAAGCGUGGGGAGCAAACAGGAUUAGAUACCCUAGUAGUCC